AACGAACGCUGGCGGCGCGUUUUAAGCAUGCAAGUCGAGCGGCAAGGGGGGCUUCGGCCCCCCCUAGAGCGGCGGACGGGUGAGUAACACGUGGACAAUCUGCCCCCCGGUUCGGGAUAGCCCAGGGAAACCUGGAUCAAUACCGGAUGCGAGGGCGGUCGCAUAUGCGGCUGUUCGGAAAGGCGCUUCGGCGCCGCCGGGGGAUGAGUCCGCGUCCCAUUAGCUAGACGGCGGGGUAAGGGCCCACCGUGGCGAUGAUGGGUAGCCGGCCUGAGAGGGUGUACGGCCACAUUGGAACUGAGACACGGUCCAGACUCCUACGGGAGGCAGCAGCUAAGAAUCUUCCGCAAUGGGCGAAAGCCUGACGGAGCGACGCCGCGUGAACGAAGAAGGCCGUGAGGUUGUAAAGUUCUUUUCGGGAGGGGGAACGAACCUGCCAGGCAAUGGGCGGGCGCUGACGUGAAUCCCGGAAUAAGCCCCGGCUAACUACGUGCCAGCAGCCCGCGGUAACACGUAGGGGGCGAGCGUUGUUCGGAAUCAUUGGGCGUAAAGGGCGUGCAGGCGGCCGCCAAAGUCCGGCGUGAAAGACCCAGGCUUCAACCUUGGGGGG
Molecule: ribosomal RNA, 610 nt
Filed under: uncultured bacterium
Lineage: Bacteria
Description: bacterial SSU rRNA
Rfam family: Bacterial small subunit ribosomal RNA
Source: RNAcentral